RNAcentral lists this ribosomal RNA (253 nucleotides) under uncultured bacterium. RNAcentral describes it as "partial 16S ribosomal RNA". It matches the Rfam family "Bacterial small subunit ribosomal RNA", at positions 524 to 776 of the family's 1533-position model. The record is from RNAcentral.
UACAGAGGGGGCAAGCGUUGUUCGGAAUUACUGGGCGUAAAGGGCGCGUAGGCGGCCUGCUAAGUCGAACGUGAAAUCCCCGGGCUCAACCCGGGAACUGCGUCCGAUACUGACAGGCUUGAAUCCGGGAGAGGGAUGUGGAAUUCCAGGUGUAGCGGUGAAAUGCGUAGAUAUCUGGAGGAAUACCGGUGGCGAAGGCGGCAUCCUGGACCAUUACUGACGCUGAGGCGCGAAAGCUAGGGGAGCAAACGGG